GACGAACGCUGGCGGCGUGCUUAACACAUGCAAGUCGAACGGAAAGGCCCUGCUUUUGUGGGGUGCUCGAGUGGCGAACGGGUGAGUAACACGUGAGUAACCUGCCCUUGACUUUGGGAUAACUUCAGGAAACUGGGGCUAAUACCGGAUAGGAGCUCCUGCUGCAUGGUGGGGGUUGGAAAGUUUCGGCGGUUGGGGAUGGACUCGCGGCUUAUCAGCUUGUUGGUGGGGUAGUGGCGUACCAAGGCUUUGACGGGUAGCCGGCCUGAGAGGGUGACCGGCCACAUUGGGACUGAGAUACGGCCCAGACUCCUACGGGAGGCAGCAGUGGGGAAUAUUGCACAAUGGGCGGAAGCCUGAUGCAGCAACGCCGCGUGCGGGAUGACGGCCUUCGGGUUGUAAACCGCUUUCGCCUGUGACGAAGCGUGAGUGACGGUAAUGAGUAAAGAAGCACCGGCUAACUACGUG
RNAcentral lists this ribosomal RNA (468 nucleotides) under uncultured bacterium. RNAcentral describes it as "partial 16S ribosomal RNA". It matches the Rfam family "Bacterial small subunit ribosomal RNA", at positions 28 to 507 of the family's 1533-position model. The record is from RNAcentral.